AACGCACCUUGCGCUCUUUGGUUAUUCCGAAGAGCAUGCUUGCUUGAGUAACGGAAAAGCUCAACCCCGCUUUCUUUAUUGAGAGUAGUUUGGGUUAGGAUCAUGAUGCCUUGUUGACUCCUUUGGAGUGUAACUGCAUUGAAAUAAAACAAGUCGAACCUUUGAUUUUACGCAGGCUUCGGCUAGCUAUUGUUGUAUAACUUCGGUCUCAAUAGUGUAUGCAUUAAAUCUAUAAAAGUAGACUUAUCAAACUUUUUAGUAGUGUUGCGAAAGUGACUGCUACCAAAUUUUUUAAGCUUGUUCUCAAAUCAAGUAGGACUACCCGCUGAACUUAA
RNAcentral lists this ribosomal RNA (335 nucleotides) under uncultured fungus. RNAcentral describes it as "eukaryotic LSU rRNA". The record is from RNAcentral. Lineage: Eukaryota; Fungi.